GGUUGAUACACCUUGUAUGCCAUUACAGAUAACCAGGGUCAAAGUGUUUCAAACAAGGACUUUAAACAGGCAGCUACUUCUGUGUGGUGAGCCAGUUAUUGAGGAACACAACAGAAUCCCACAAUGAUAAAAAUGAAGGAGAUGCCGUCUAAAUGUGGACUCUCAGCUUUCAGUGCUUCAUUUUUCCAUCAUGCUGUUGUCCUGCUUCUCCUGACAGACUGCUGUGGAGGCGAUACAAUGUCACCGUCCGAACUCAACUCCAAUUCAAGAGCAUCAGCUGAUUCAUCCAGUCGUCGUAUUUCUUACACACAGACUGACUUUCAUAUCUUCACG
Scomber japonicus (chub mackerel) is the source of this 333-nucleotide long non-coding RNA. RefSeq lists it as uncharacterized. The record is from RefSeq and is a predicted model, not a curated record. Lineage: Eukaryota; Metazoa; Chordata; Actinopteri; Scombriformes; Scombridae. The transcript is spliced from 4 exons.